Molecule: ribosomal RNA, 497 nt
Filed under: uncultured bacterium
Lineage: Bacteria
Description: partial 16S ribosomal RNA
Rfam family: Bacterial small subunit ribosomal RNA
Source: RNAcentral
GAUGAACGCUGGCGGCGUGCCUAAUACAUGCAAGUCGAGCGAACAGACGAGGAGCUUGCUCCUUUGACGUUAGCGGCGGACGGGUGAGUAACACGUAGGUAACCUACCUAUAAGACUGGGAAAACUUCGGGAAACCGGAGCUAAUACCGGAUAAUAUUUCGAACCGCAUGGUUAGAUAGUGAAAGAUGGCUUUGCUAUCACUUAUAGAUGGACCUGCGCCGUAUUAGCUAGUUGGUAAGGUAACGGCUUACCAAGGCAACGAUACGUAGCCGACCUGAGAGGGUGAUCGGCCACACUGGAACUGAGACACGGUCCAGACUCCUACGGGAGGCAGCAGUAGGGAAUCUUCCGCAAUGGGCGAAAGCCUGACGGAGCAACGCCGCGUGAGUGAUGAAGGUCUUCGGAUCGUAAAACUCUGUUAUUAGGGAAGAACAAACGUGUAAGUAACUGUGCACGUCUUGACGGUACCUAAUCAGAAAGCCACGGCUAACUACGUG